This is a long non-coding RNA of Austrofundulus limnaeus, 935 nucleotides long. RefSeq lists it as uncharacterized. Lineage: Eukaryota; Metazoa; Chordata; Actinopteri; Cyprinodontiformes; Rivulidae. The transcript has 2 exons. The record is from RefSeq and is a predicted model, not a curated record.
UGUGUGUGUGUGUGUGUGUGUGUGUGUGUGUGCGUGCACAUGUGUGCGUGUCACUUAUAUGCAUGAAUACCGUUGUAGGUAUUUCUCUGUUUUCUCCUGCAGGAUGAAGAGACUGAACUGAAAAAAGAGACUUUCAGAACCUUUUGUUGAGACGUGUUCUGGUUUCAGGAUGUUUGUCUGUCUGCAGACAGCAGAGGUUCUGUCUGCAGACAGCACAGGUUCUGUCUGCAGACAGCAGAGGUUCUGCAGCAGAGGUUCUGUCUGCUGCUCCACGUCUUCUUUUCUUUAGUUCUUGGGUUAAAGUUGCGUUUGGGGUCAAAGGUCAAACGAUGGAACACGUCUUCUUCUGUUUCCUGUUUGUCAUAAAUGAAACUAAACUCAGGUUUCAGCUUUUUGAAGCCAUAAACUGAUUUAUGAGAAUAUUUUAAAGGUGAACGUUUCUCAGCCACAACAUCAAGACCAGCUGUUGGUCCAGGUUCUGGCCCGUCCAGGACCCUCCUGGUGGUUCUGGAUGGAAACAUGACUUUCCUCAGCUGUCAGAAGAUCUCAAGAUGAUUUCAUUCAGUUAAAGGAUCAUGUUGGACUUUAUAUUUUGGAUCCAUUCUGUUUGUUUGUUUGUUUGUUUGUUUGUUUACUGCAGCUGAUGCAGGUUUAGCUUGGAUCGUGAUUGGUCCAGUCAUCUGCUUCAUCCUGCUGCUGUUUGUGGCUGGUGGUGUUUUUUACAUCAUCAGGAAGAGACAAAUUGAGGGUCCGCUCGGAGAUCUCAUCACCUCACCAAACCCCGAAUACUUCAGCGCCAGCGACAGUAAGGAAAAUAUUAUUAUGCAAAUCCUGAGAAGACAACAUGUUGCUGACGCUGCUUUCUGUGGACAACCCCAAUGUUGUAAAAAGGUUGUGUAAAGUGCAAAUAAAAACAGAACGAAAGGGUUUGCAAA